This 51-nucleotide transfer RNA is filed under the name Askidiosperma delicatulum. RNAcentral describes it as "partial tRNA-Leu". The record is from RNAcentral. Lineage: Eukaryota; Viridiplantae; Streptophyta; Magnoliopsida; Poales; Restionaceae. RNAcentral also lists the same sequence under 2 other names.
AGUAAGAGGAAAAUCCGUCGACUUUCAAGAUCGUGAGGGUUCAAGUCCCUC